Molecule: unclassified non-coding RNA, 200 nt
Filed under: Hevea brasiliensis (rubber tree)
Lineage: Eukaryota; Viridiplantae; Streptophyta; Magnoliopsida; Malpighiales; Euphorbiaceae
Source: RNAcentral
GGGACAUUUAUCAUCAAAAGCAACCCAUUCUUGACUGGCCUUAUCAAACCAAAGAACUAAGUCUCGACCCAGAAGCUGAAACGGGGUUGGCAAGCUGGGGUCCAAAUCCUCAACCAAAGAAACCGGGUACCANNNNNNNGAGAACUUGGAAUCAGAACUCUUCUCUCCAGUCUCAUCAUCAACUCUAAAGUCUCCUUCUU